Molecule: ribosomal RNA, 253 nt
Filed under: uncultured bacterium
Lineage: Bacteria
Description: partial 16S ribosomal RNA
Rfam family: Bacterial small subunit ribosomal RNA
Source: RNAcentral
UACGGGGGGGGCAAGCGUUGUUCGGAAUUACUGGGCGUAAAGCGCACGUAGGCGGCUUUGUAAGUUAGAGGUGAAAGCCCAGGGCUCAACCCUGGAAUUGCCUUUAAGACUGCAUCGCUUGAAUCAUGGAGAGGUGAGUGGAAUUCCGAGUGUAGAGGUGAAAUUCGUAGAUAUUCGGAAGAACACCAGUGGCGAAGGCGACUCACUGGACAUGUAUUGACGCUGAGGUGCGAAAGCGUGGGGAGCAAACAGG